Molecule: ribosomal RNA, 301 nt
Filed under: uncultured bacterium
Lineage: Bacteria
Description: partial 16S ribosomal RNA
Rfam family: Bacterial small subunit ribosomal RNA
Source: RNAcentral
CAGCCGCCGCGGUAAUACGUAGGUGGCAAGCGUUGCCCGGAAUUAUUGGGCGUAAAGCGCGCGCAGGCGGAUAGGUCAGUCUGUCUUAAAAGUUCGGGGCUUAACCCCGUGAUGGGAUGGAAACUGCCAAUCUAGAGUAUCGGAGAGGAAAGUGGAAUUCCUAGUGUAGCGGUGAAAUGCGUAGAUAUUAGGAAGAACACCAGUGGCGAAGGCGACUUUCUUGACGAAAACUGACGCUGAGGCGCGAAAGCCAGGGGAGCGAACGGGAUUAGAUACCCCAGUAGUCCCUGUCUCUUAUACA